RNAcentral lists this long non-coding RNA (1046 nucleotides) under Gossypium barbadense (sea-island cotton). RNAcentral's name for it is "long non-coding RNA (GBAR_LNC008869)". Lineage: Eukaryota; Viridiplantae; Streptophyta; Magnoliopsida; Malvales; Malvaceae. The record is from RNAcentral.
UCCCCAAAGGAGUCAAGAUUCAUCAAACCAGGCAAAGAUGGUCCUUUUAAAGUCUUUGCUCUAUUCUCAUUACAAGACAAUGAGCAAAGAGGGGCAGCUGUAAUAGGCCCAAUUUGCCCAGGCCUAUAAUAAAUAAAGAAACCAAAAACCAAAAAAUAUAUGUAUCAAACAGAAAUAAAUAAACUAAAGUGUUUAUAAGGCCAAUGUCCAUUUACAAAAUUUCGGGCCUAAAUUAAACCCCAACCUAUUUAAAUUUAACUAUAGCCCAACAAUUACACCCAAAAUCCCUUAACCCAAUUCACAAAUGGCCCAAGGAAGCCCAAAUAGCCUGAGAACUCCAGAAACCCUAGAGGUUUCUGGAAUAUGCUAGAGCAGCACUAGAAGAUUGGCCUCCCAUGAGGGGUUCCCCACGCAUGGCCUCCACGUCACCAAGGUCUCCUCCUCCGUACAGCCACACCUGCAAUAGAAUACACGAGAAGCAGCAAAAUAUAACAGAAAAAUAGCAAAAAAAGAAAAAGAAAUAGAUUUUUUGUAAUUUUUAAUUUGUAUUUCUCUGGCUAUAAAAAGCCAACGAAUGUAGUCUGAUUUUUUACGCACACUAAAUAUCAAAAAGAGAGAAUCAAAAGUUAUCCGAAGGUGAUUUUUUAUUCUGUUUAUUUUUCUUUUUUUUUUUCAAAUUGUUUGCAAUAUUUUACAUGAAAGAACAAAAGGAAUACUUGAAACGACGCCAAUGAAAGCCCAAAUAUCUCAGAAAUAUUGAGAUAUGGGCGAGGGUCGAAUGGUGUUGAGUGUGUUCUUUCGAAUUUUGUUGCGUUUUUCUUGAAAGAAUAAUAUUGGAUAAAAAGUUUUUUUUUUAAAAAAGAUAGAAUAGCUUACCAGAUCUCCUUGAGCGUGGCUUUUGUUGGCAGAAUUUGGUCACUGCUGGCGCACUAUCGUCCACCAAAUGGAAUGGUGGUUCGACGGUUGCUAGAAUGAAACCCUAGCAGAUUGAUUUUAAGGCUGUAGUUUUUUGUUAAAAGGUUGGCUGUGUUUGGAAAAGAAAAUAG